This 1346-nucleotide ribosomal RNA is filed under the name uncultured bacterium. Its description in RNAcentral is "partial 16S ribosomal RNA". It matches the Rfam family "Bacterial small subunit ribosomal RNA", at positions 28 to 1381 of the family's 1533-position model. The record is from RNAcentral.
GACGAACGCUGGCGGCGUGCUUAACACAUGCAAGUCGAACGGAAAGGCCCUGCUUUUGUGGGGUGCUCGAGUGGCGAACGGGUGAGUAACACGUGAGUAACCUGCCCUUGACUUUGGGAUAACUUCAGGAAACUGGGGCUAAUACCGGAUAGGAGCUCCUGCUGCAUGGUGGGGGUUGGAAAGUUUCGGCGGUUGGGGAUGGACUCGCGGCUUAUCAGCUUGUUGGUGGGGUAGUGGCUUACCAAGGCUUUGACGGGUAGCCGGCCUGAGAGGGUGACCGGCCACAUUGGGACUGAGAUACGGCCCAGACUCCUACGGGAGGCAGCAGUGGGGAAUAUUGCACAAUGGGCGGAAGCCUGAUGCAGCAACGCCGCGUGCGGGAUGACGGCCUUCGGGUUGUAAACCGCUUUCGCCUGUGACGAAGCGUGAGUGACGGUAAUGGGUAAAGAAGCACCGGCUAACUACGUGCCAGCAGCCGCGGUGAUACGUAGGGUGCGAGCGUUGUCCGGAUUUAUUGGGCGUAAAGGGCUCGUAGGUGGUUGAUCGCGUCGGAAGUGUAAUCUUGGGGCUUAACCCUGAGCGUGCUUUCGAUACGGGUUGACUUGAGGAAGGUAGGGGAGAAUGGAAUUCCUGGUGGAGCGGUGGAAUGCGCAGAUAUCAGGAGGAACACCAGUGGCGAAGGCGGUUCUCUGGGCCUUUCCUGACGCUGAGGAGCGAAAGCGUGGGGAGCGAACAGGCUUAGAUACCCCGGUAGUCCACGCUGUAAACGGUGGGUACUAGGUGUGGGGUCCAUUCCACGGGUUCCGUGCCGUAGCUAACGCUUUAAGUACCCCGCCUGGGGAGUACGGCCGCAAGGCUAAAACUCAAAGGAAUUGACGGGGCCCCGCACAAGCGGCGGAGCAUGCGGAUUAAUUCGAUGCAACGCGUAGAACCUUACCUGGGUUUGACAUGGAUCGGGAGUGCUCAGAGAUGGGUGUGCCUCUUUUGGGGUCGGUUCACAGGUGGUGCAUGGCUGUCGUCAGCUCGUGUCGUGAGAUGUUGGGUUAAGUCCCGCAACGAGCGCAACCCUUGUUCACUGUUGCCAGCACGUUAUGGUGGGGACUCAGUGGAGACCGCCGGGGUCAACUCGGGGGAAGGUGGGGAUGACGUCAAGUCAUCAUGCCCCUUAUGUCCAGGGCUUCACGCAUGCUACAAUGGCUGGUACAGAGAGUGGCGAGCCUGUGAGGGUGAGCGAAUCUCGGAAAGCCGGUCUCAGUUCGGAUUGGGGUCUGCAACUCGACCUCAUGAAGUCGGAGUCGCUAGUAAUCGCAGAUCAGCAACGCUGCGGUGAAUACGUUCCCGGGGCU